AUGCACGCUGGCGGCGUGCCUAAUACAUGCAAGUCGAGCGAACGGACGAGAAGCUUGCUUUUCUGAUGUUAGCGGCGGACGGGUGAGUAACACGUGGAUAACCUACCUAUAAGACUGGGAUAACUUCGGGAAACCGGAGCUAAUACCGGAUAAUAUUUUGAACCGCAUGGUUCAAAAGUGAAAGACGGUCUUGCUGUCACUUAUAGAUGGAUCCGCGCUGCAUUAGCUAGUUGGUAAGGUAACGGCUUACCAAGGCAACGAUGCAUAGCCGACCUGAGAGGGUGAUCGGCCACACUGGAACUGAGACACGGUCCAGACUCCUACGGGAGGCAGCAGUAGGGAAUCUUCCGCAAUGGGCGAAAGCCUGACGGAGCAACGCCGCGUGAGUGAUGAAGGUCUUCGGAUCGUAAAACUCUGUUAUUAGGGAAGAACAUAUGUGUAAGUAACUGUGCACAUCUUGACGGUACCUAAUCAGAAAGCCACGGCUAACUACGU
RNAcentral lists this ribosomal RNA (495 nucleotides) under uncultured bacterium. Its description in RNAcentral is "partial 16S ribosomal RNA". It matches the Rfam family "Bacterial small subunit ribosomal RNA", at positions 29 to 506 of the family's 1533-position model. The record is from RNAcentral.